AACGCUGGCGGCAGGCUUAAUACAUGCAAGUCGAACGGUAAGUUUGGUAGCAAUACUAAACCAAGAGUGACGUACGGGUGCGUAACACGUAUGCAACCUACCUUGUACAGGAGGAUAGCUCGGGGAAACUCGAAUUAACCCUCCAUAAUAUGAUUGAGUGUCAUCACUUGAUCAUUAAAACUGAGGUGGUACAAGAUGGGCAUGCGUUUGAUUAGCUAGUUGGUGGUGUAAUGGACCACCAAGGCGAUGAUCAAUAGGGGAACUGAGAGGUUGAUCCCCCACACUGCCACUGAGAUACGAGCCCACUCCUACGGGUCUCAGCAGU
Molecule: ribosomal RNA, 325 nt
Filed under: uncultured Bacteroidota bacterium
Lineage: Bacteria; Pseudomonadati; Bacteroidota
Description: bacterial SSU rRNA
Rfam family: Bacterial small subunit ribosomal RNA
Source: RNAcentral